ACUUGAUGGGGGGGAGGGGGGGGUGGGGGGAAAUAUAGCAGUGAUUUGUAUGAAAUCGUAAAGAAUUAAAUAUGUUGUAAAAGCUAUUUUCGUAAAAUUAUAGAUUUUCAGGCUACAAGAAAAUUUAUCUAGUUCAAUCAAAUUCGACAGAGUACACGAAUGAUUUAUUGCUGCCAAACUUACCGAUCCAAACGAGGUAAGGUCUCCGAAAGUACAGCCUUUGGCCGAAUAAAAUCUGCGACAAUUCCGGUAACGUAGAACUGGCUAUUUUGGAAAUUGAAAUAAUCCAGCGUGCAACGAGCCCUCGCAUGACACUGGCCACCUGGGCUAACCCCACAUAUCUGACACCCCUCACUCUAUGGUCCAACCCCGUCGAAACUGCACGUUAUCUAAUCCUAACAUCCCAUCGGAGUUUAGGUACCCGCUACAACAACGGCGAUCAAAAUAAAGUUCUCGUAUGGAAAACUUUUUCCCUAAGAUAAUAAUACAAUCUCCGAACAAAUGGUUCCGAUCGGUUAACAAUAGCUUAUAUGUACAUAGUUGCCACAUAAGCUGAACGAUCAAUAUAAAGUUGUUGGAUGGAAAACCUUUUUAUUGAACAAGAUAUCUUCACGAAAUUUCGCAUCAAUUAUUCUCCGAGGCGACGGUACAAUUUUCGAAGAAACUGCGCAGAUUGAACCAAUAUAGCAUAUAGCUGCCAUACAAACUGAUCGAUGUCAAAACCAAGUUCUUGUAUGGAACCUUAGGGUGUAUAACGUAAUGCCGACAAUCAAAAUCUUGAAAUUUAGAAUGCCGACAGUCAAAAUACCGACAAAUCAAGAAAAGAUGGCAUUGUUCGUUCGAGACCCUCAGGAUCAUAACCCUUAGUCAGUAGAAUUCACUUUCUGUGCUUCGAUAGACAUAAGGGCAGACAAGAUAAAAUAUUUUUCAUAUGUCGGCAUUUUGGUUUGUCGGUAUUUUGAUUUUUUUUUUUGUUAUAAUUUAUCGGUAUUUUGAUUUUUUUUGUUAUAAUUUGCCGGUGUUUUGAUUUAGCUGCGUAUUUAAAUUUUGUCGGUAUUUUGAUGUGUCGCCACUUUGAAUUUCGGUAUUUUAAGUGUAUCCCGAAGCAUUAGUAUUCGCAAAAGGUAUUAAAGCUUAGGUGCAACCGAAUUUAACAACUUUUAAUUUUUUUAGCUACCUUUAUUUUAUAAAAAUAUUUUUUUGAUUUAGUUUCGCUGUCAAUUUAAUUACCAUUGCUUAUCUUUUUCAAGUUAUAUCUUUAAUUACAUAUCCUUAAAACUAUGUUAAAAGUAGUAUUUUAAAAAUUAAGUAAAUUAAGGUAGUUUGAUGGAUAAAUGUGAAAGAAUCAUUUUACGUUUAUAUGCAGUUGAAUUCAUAACAUAUUCGAUUUGCACAUCUUUACACUGCAUCUAAAUGGCUUUGUUGGCGCUCCACACCGGCAACUGCCAAUGACUCUUUCACAACGUAAAUCUACAAUAUUGCUGGUAAAUAAAAUUUAAUUGUAAUUAAA
Molecule: long non-coding RNA, 1510 nt
Organism: Bactrocera neohumeralis
Lineage: Eukaryota; Metazoa; Arthropoda; Insecta; Diptera; Tephritidae
Exons: 2
Source: RefSeq, a predicted model, not a curated record